This 253-nucleotide ribosomal RNA is filed under the name uncultured bacterium. RNAcentral describes it as "partial 16S ribosomal RNA". It matches the Rfam family "Bacterial small subunit ribosomal RNA", at positions 524 to 776 of the family's 1533-position model. The record is from RNAcentral.
UACAGAGGUCUCAAGCGUUGUUCGGAUUCAUUGGGCGUAAAGGGUGCGUAGGUGGCAUGGUAAGUCGGAUGUGAAAUCCCGGGGCUCAACCCCGGAACUGCAUUCGAUACUGCUGAGCUAGAGUACUGGAGAGGAGAUUGGAAUUUACGGUGUAGCAGUGAAAUGCGUAGAUAUCGUAAGGAAGACCAGUGGCGAAGGCGGAUCUCUGGACAGUUACUGACGCUGAGGCGCGAAAGCUAGGGGAGCAAACGGG